RNAcentral lists this transfer RNA (68 nucleotides) under Marmota monax (woodchuck). Its description in RNAcentral is "tRNA.Ala". Lineage: Eukaryota; Metazoa; Chordata; Mammalia; Rodentia; Sciuridae. The record is from RNAcentral.
GGAUUGUGGCUCAGCGGUAGAGCACUGGCCUAGCACGUAUGAGGCCCUGGGUUCAAUCUUCAGCACCA